RNAcentral lists this ribosomal RNA (301 nucleotides) under uncultured bacterium. Its description in RNAcentral is "partial 16S ribosomal RNA". It matches the Rfam family "Bacterial small subunit ribosomal RNA", at positions 509 to 808 of the family's 1533-position model. The record is from RNAcentral.
CAGUCGCCGCGGUAAUACGUAGGUCCCGAGCGUUGUCCGGAUUUAUUGGGCGUAAAGGGAGCGCAGGCGGUUUAGUAAGUCUGAAGUUAAAGGCAUUGGCUCAACCAAUGUAUGCUUUGGAAACUGUUAGACUUGAGUGCAGAAGGGGAGAGUGGAAUUCCAUGUGUAGCGGUGAAAUGCGUAGAUAUAUGGAGGAACACCGGUGGCGAAAGCGGCUCUCUGGCUUGUAACUGACGCUGAGGCUCGAAAGCGUGGGGAGCAAACAGGAUUAGAUACCCCUGUAGUCCCUGUCUCUUAUACA